RNAcentral lists this small RNA (293 nucleotides) under Saprolegnia diclina VS20. Its description in RNAcentral is "5' ureB small RNA". It matches the Rfam family "5' ureB small RNA". The record is from Rfam by way of RNAcentral. Lineage: Eukaryota; Oomycota; Saprolegniomycetes; Saprolegniales; Saprolegniaceae.
CAGAUUAGUACCUGCGGACAAAUAAAGUGCACGUGCGUGUCGACGCCACCAGCCGUUAGAAUGAGAUCGCGACCAGCAAUCGCCUCGGUGUUGACGCCAAUUACCAUGUUGGGGUCGACGCCGUCCAUGACGUCGGGGUUCCCCGCCUUGCCGAUCGCCGAGAUCCGGCCGUGCUUGAUACCAACGUCAGCCUUGUAGAUGCCCGAGUAGUCGACGAUGACGACGUUCGUAAUGACCGUGUCGAGGACGUCGGCGGCGCAGCGGCCCGUGGCCUGGCCCAUGCCUUCGCGCAG